RNAcentral lists this ribosomal RNA (113 nucleotides) under Acanthosepion pharaonis. The record is from RNAcentral. Lineage: Eukaryota; Metazoa; Mollusca; Cephalopoda; Sepiida; Sepiidae.
UACGGCCAUAUCACGUUCAAUCAUCAGUUCCCGUACGAUCACUCAAGUUAAGCAACGUCGAGUUUGGUCUGUAUCUAGUUGGGUGACCUUUUGGGAACAUAUGGUGCUGUAAG